This 490-nucleotide ribosomal RNA is filed under the name uncultured bacterium. Its description in RNAcentral is "partial 16S ribosomal RNA". It matches the Rfam family "Bacterial small subunit ribosomal RNA", at positions 30 to 507 of the family's 1533-position model. The record is from RNAcentral.
UGAACGCUGGCGGUAGGCCUAACACAUGCAAGUCGAACGGCAGCACAGUAAGAGCUUGCUCUUACGGGUGGCGAGUGGCGGACGGGUGAGGAAUACAUCGGAAUCUACUUUUUCGUGGGGGAUAACGUAGGGAAACUUACGCUAAUACCGCAUACGACCUACGGGUGAAAGCAGGGGAUCUUCGGACCUUGCGCGAUUGAAUGAGCCGAUGUCGGAUUAGCUAGUUGGCGGGGUAAAGGCCCACCAAGGCGACGAUCCGUAGCUGGUCUGAGAGGAUGAUCAGCCACACUGGAACUGAGACACGGUCCAGACUCCUACGGGGGGCAGCAGUGGGGAAUAUUGGACAAUGGGCGCAAGCCUGAUCCAGCCAUACCGCGUGGGUGAAGAAGGCCUUCGGGUUGUAAAGCCCUUUUGUUGGGAAAGAAAAGCAGCAGGUUAAUACCCCGCUGUUCUGACGGUACCCAAAGAAUAAGCACCGGCUAACUUCGUG